AAGUGUGGAGGGCGAUCCGGCUGCGAUAUCUAUGACCCCAUUGACCACCAAGGUUGAUUUGGCUGAUCUGGCUGGCUAGACCUGUGUCCCCUUCCUCCCUCACCGCUCCAUGUGCGUCCCUCCCAAAGCUGUGCGCUCAGUAAAGAGGACGACCUUCCCCGAUAGAGAAGGACCAUUCUUUGGUCGAGGGUAUAUACAUGCCCCAGCUAGAACCUCCAAACAAGCUCUCAAGGUUCCAAUAUUAAAUUUUCAUAGGAAAUUAGGAUAACCCUUGUAAACAGUAUAUGUUCAAUGGACAUUUAUUUAGUU
Molecule: small nuclear RNA, 309 nt
Filed under: Propithecus coquereli (Coquerel's sifaka)
Lineage: Eukaryota; Metazoa; Chordata; Mammalia; Primates; Indriidae
Description: 7SK RNA (ENSPCOG00000011479.1)
Rfam family: 7SK RNA
About the family: 7SK was discovered as an abundant small nuclear RNA in the mid-70s but a possible function has only recently been suggested. Two independent studies have found that 7SK RNA binds the CDK9/cyclin T complex (known as elongation factor P-TEFb). P-TEFb activates transcription by phosphorylating the C-terminal domain of RNA polymerase II.
Source: Rfam by way of RNAcentral